AUUGAACGCUGGCGGCAGGCCUAACACAUGCAGGUCGAACGGUAACAGGAAACAGCUUGCUGUUUCGCUGACGAGUGGCGGACGGGUGAGUAAUGUCUGGGAAACUGCCUGAUGGAGGGGGAUAACUACUGGAAACGGUAGCUAAUACCGCAUAACGUCGCAAGACCAAAGAGGGGGACCUUCGGGCCUCUUGCCAUCGGAUGUGCCCAGAUGGGAUUAGCUGGUUGGUGGGGUAACGGCUCACCAAGGCGACGAUCCCUAGCUGGUCUGAGAGGAUGACCAGCCACACUGGAACUGAGACACGGUCCAGACUCCUACGGGAGGCAGCAGUGGGGAAUAUUGCACAAUGGGCGCAAGCCUGAUGCAGCCAUGCCGCGUGUAUGAAGAAGGCCUUCGGGUUGUAAAGCACUUUCAGCGGGGAGGAAGGGAGUAAAGUUAAUACCUUUACUCAUUGACGUUACCCGCAGAAGAAGCACCGGCUAACUCCGUGCCAGCAGCCGCCGUAA
This 506-nucleotide ribosomal RNA is filed under the name uncultured bacterium. RNAcentral's name for it is "partial 16S ribosomal RNA". It matches the Rfam family "Bacterial small subunit ribosomal RNA", at positions 30 to 523 of the family's 1533-position model. The record is from RNAcentral.